This 73-nucleotide transfer RNA is filed under the name Candidatus Woesearchaeota archaeon. RNAcentral's name for it is "tRNA-Val". It matches the Rfam family "tRNA". From Rfam's summary of the family: Transfer RNA (tRNA) molecules are approximately 80 nucleotides in length. Their secondary structure includes four short double-helical elements and three loops (D, anti-codon, and T loops). The record is from RNAcentral. Lineage: Archaea; Nanobdellati; Candidatus Woesearchaeota.
GGGCUCAUAGUCUAGUGGCUAUGACGUCUCCUUGACGUGGAGAAGGUCGCCAGUUCGAAUCUGGCUGGGCCCA